UGCGUAGGCGGCGUUAUAAGUCAGAAGUGAAAGCCUCCAGCUUAACUGGAGAAUUGCUUUUGAUACUGUAGUGCUUGAAUCACGUUGAGGUUAGCGGAAUGUGACAUGUAGCGGUGAAAUGCAUAGAUAUGUCAUAGAACACCAAUUGCGUAGGCAGCUAACUAGGCGUGUAUUGACGCUGAGGCACGAAAGCGUGGGGAGCGAACAGGAUUAGAUACCCUGGUAGUCC
This 229-nucleotide ribosomal RNA is filed under the name uncultured bacterium. RNAcentral's name for it is "partial 16S ribosomal RNA". It matches the Rfam family "Bacterial small subunit ribosomal RNA", at positions 568 to 796 of the family's 1533-position model. The record is from RNAcentral.